CAGCCGCCACGGGAAUACAGAGGGUGCAAGCGUUAAUCGGAAUUACUGGGCGUAAAGCGCGCGUAGGUGGUUCGCCAAGUUGGAUGUGAAAUCCCCGGGCUCAACCUGGGAACUGCAUCCAAAACUGGCGAGCUAGAGUAUGGUAGAGGGUGGUGGAAUUUCCUGUGUAGCGGUGAAAUGCGUAGAUAUAGGAAGGAACAUCAGUGGCGAAGGCGACCACCUGGACUGAUACUGACACUGAGGUGCGAAAGCGUGGGGAGCAAACAGGAUUAGAUACCCCAGUAGUCCCUGUCUCUUAUAA
Molecule: ribosomal RNA, 301 nt
Filed under: uncultured bacterium
Lineage: Bacteria
Description: partial 16S ribosomal RNA
Rfam family: Bacterial small subunit ribosomal RNA
Source: RNAcentral